UGGGGAAUCUUGGACAAUGGGCGCAAGCCUGAUCCAGCAAUGCCGCGUGGGUGAAGAAGGCCUUCGGGUUGUAAAGCCCUUUUGUCAGGGAGCAAAUCCCUGCCGCUAAUACCGGCCGGGGAUGAGAGUACCUGAAGAAUAAGGACCGGCUAACUACGUGCCAGCAGCCGCGGUAAUACGUAGGGUCCAAGCGUUAAUCGGAAUUACUGGGCGUAAAGCGUGCGCAGGUGGCUUGUUAAGAGCGAUGUGAAAUCCCCGGGCUCAACCUGGGAACUGCAUUGCUGACUGGCUCGCUAGAGUAUGGGAGAGGGGGGUGGAAUUCCGCGUGUAGCAGUGAAAUGCGUAGAGAUGCGGAGGAACACCGAUGGCGAAGGCAACCCCCUGGCCCUAAUACUGACACUCAUGCACGAAAGCGUGGGGGAGCGAAACAGGAUUAGAUACCCUGGUAGUCCACGCCCUAAACGAUGUCUACUAGUUGUUGGGGAUUUCGAUCC
Molecule: ribosomal RNA, 494 nt
Filed under: uncultured Pseudomonadota bacterium
Lineage: Bacteria; Pseudomonadati; Pseudomonadota
Description: bacterial SSU rRNA
Rfam family: Bacterial small subunit ribosomal RNA
Source: RNAcentral